AUGCAUAGAAUUAACACUAUUGAAUUGUCAAACCUCCUCGCGCGGCCGUUUCGUGCCGGGCCAAGCCCCCGGCUGACACAACCACCAUGCCACAAGAGUUUUGCUGUUCUGCCUUUGCUGUGCGCUGCCUGGCGCAUCCUGCCUGCGGUGCGUGAGGAGCUGAUCACCACCUCACGCUUCACUGAAGACGUCGCCAGUGACCAAGGAGAGCCUAAAUCUCCAAUUGAUAUCAAAUGUGGAGCAGACAGCCCUGUGAUGCUCGGAGGAAUCGGUGUCAGCGGAUCAGACAGCCCACGAGGGGCCGUGGCUCCUUCCCACGUGGCAGGGUCGGCCGAGGCUCGGCACAACACAAACCCUCCUGGAAAGGGCCGUGCUGCACAGUGUGCAUCCCGGGGAGCAGGGGCAACUGCUUCCUUCUUUGGGCCGCCGUAA
RNAcentral lists this long non-coding RNA (432 nucleotides) under Anser brachyrhynchus (Pink-footed goose). RNAcentral's name for it is "lncRNA (ENSABRG00000015973.1)". The record is from RNAcentral. Lineage: Eukaryota; Metazoa; Chordata; Aves; Anseriformes; Anatidae.